Molecule: ribosomal RNA, 364 nt
Filed under: uncultured bacterium
Lineage: Bacteria
Description: bacterial SSU rRNA
Rfam family: Bacterial small subunit ribosomal RNA
Source: RNAcentral
AAUCAACGCUGGCGGCGUGCCUCAGACAUGCAAGUCGAACGAUUAAAGCUCUCUUCGGAGAGUGUAUAGAGUGGCGCACGGGUGAGUAACACGUAAGUAAUCUACCUUUGAGUGGGGAAUAGCAAUACGGAAACGAUUGCUAAUACCGCAUAAUGCAGCGGCAUCGCAAGAUGACAGUUGUUAAAGGAGCAAUCCACUUAAAGAGAGCUUGCGGCAGAUUAGCUAGUUGGUAAGGUAAUGGCUUACCAAGGCUACGAUCUGUAACCGGUCUAAGAGGACGGUCGGUCACACUGACACUGAAUAACGGGUCAGACUCCUACGGGAGGCAGCAGUCGGGAAUUUUGGGCAAUGGGCGAAAGCCUGA